Molecule: long non-coding RNA, 5435 nt
Organism: Cebus imitator (Panamanian white-faced capuchin)
Lineage: Eukaryota; Metazoa; Chordata; Mammalia; Primates; Cebidae
Exons: 6
Source: RefSeq, a predicted model, not a curated record
CACCCGCCUUCGUCUCCCAAAGUGCCGGGAUUACAGGGUGAUCCUAUUUCACACAUUUCUGUCACCAGAUAAUGUCUUUCUCUCUUGAAUUCUGAACUUACAUAGUUAACAUUUACCUGAUCAUCUGUACCCAGUUAUGUCCUAAGUCCAACAUUUAACUCAUUAACAUCUUAUAAUGUUAAUAAUUUCCAAAAUAAUUUCCCCUCUUUGAUUCCCUGUUUUGAUGACUUCUAUUUCUACCUACCCAACCUCCCAAGUCAGAUGCCUGAGAGUCAUCCUAAACUGCUUUCUUUCCUUGACUCUCCACAACCAAUCCCCGAACACUUCCCUUCUCUUUCCUAAAUAUUUUUCAUGUUCUUAUCCAAAUUGGAAGGCUUAUGAAAAAGGGUCACUAUUAGUAAUAAUACAAAGAUAACCAGUGUAAACCAGGACGCAAGACGAUUCUGGGCAAACAACAAUGUAUAAUUAGCCUACAGUUGAGAAACAGAAGUAAUUCAUUCCAGGGUGGUUUGAGAAAGCACAUUGCUCUUGAAGAAUUGAGAGAAUCACAGCCGGCUUAGUAGUCUAGGGUGUCUGAUGGAGACCUACAUAGUGAGAGACGAAGCUGGAAAGGUCAUUGCAAUACCAGAUUCUGCAGGUGUGAAAUGUUUCUCACCUUGAAAUUAUCCAUGAGUGAUAGACAGUACUGGUUGGCUGCUUAGAAUUCAUUUUCUUUCCUUUCUAGCAAAGCCAUCGCCCAUGUAACCACAUGUUUCAGGAGAAGCUGACCCUACAGCCAGCUCCACUGGUAAGUCUAAUUGGUCCAAGGGUCAUCUUUAUCCCUGUACCAGAGAUUGGCUCAUGGGGCUAAUGACCCAACUCCAGCCAAUGACACAUCAGGGGAAUCUGCUGGAGGAUUUCCAAAAAGAGUUUCCUCAUUCCAAACAGAAGACCAUAAGAAAAGAUUGUCAUGCCUAUAAUUGCUGCAGCUAUUUUAAUUCCAGGUAUGAGGCUGAAACAGUCUUUGAUGGCCAAGUGAAGAGAUGGAAAAAGCAGGAUCCAGGAUGACUUUGUGAGUUGCUAGGUUACCAACCCCUGCUCUGUUUCUGGACUUCAAAUAUGAAACGACACUUCCUUUCUUACUUAAGUCCUUAAGUCGGGGUUUUCUGUUAAUUAUAGCCAAUAACACUCAGAUAUGCCAUGAAAUUUAAGAAUGUGAAAUAAUGGCCUUGACUUUCACAGAACUGGAAGGAAUGUGACUGUCAUGUCACUAACUGUCACUAUCACUUGUUGGACAAUUAAGGCUGCUAUUUAUCUUACCUUGUGUUGUUGCUUAUCUUUCUAUGGGAUUAUGUUGAAUAUGCAUCCAAUCUGGAACUUUAAAAAGUCAAAGUCAGUGAUAGAUCUUUUACUUCUUUGUAGGCCUAUAAUCCAUUACAUAACACACACAUUUUCUGUCAAUCAUUAACUCCCUUCUUAUUCUACCCACAUAGAUUUUUUUGGAAGGUGACCAAAAUGCUAUCUCUAUUUGGAGAUAAUAAUUAGUCUCAUCUUCAUUGGUUUCCUCUUGAAUGUGGAGGGAAUUAUCGGAUGAGUAAAUUGGAACAUGGUGGCCAUGUGGCCUGCUGCCCCCGUGUACCACUUGGAGACCAGCCUGGCAUGGAAAUGACCAGAUGUUGGAAGCUGAGCUGUUGGUGAGUGAAAUGAAUAAGUUAGCUGUUCCACUUCCCAUCUGCAUGGACAGCUUCUGCAUUGCAAAACUGCCAGUGCUUGUCAUUUCACAUGGCAGCAGUUAAUCUCUUAACCCCUUCCUAAACUUGGCAUUGGAAAGCCCUCGAUGGCCAAUUAGGCUGUGUGGGUAUAUGUACACUAGUGCCCAUCUGCCACAGGAAUAGAAGCAGUGGCACAAUUCAGAUCACUACCAAGAUACACAGAUGCUCCUGGAUCUGAGGAAGUGACCUAUAGAAAAUGAAGAAUGACCAGAUAAAGGCAAUAAGAAUGGAAGUAGAGGGGCUUAUUAAGCAGCUCUGGAUAAGCAGAGAAAGGAUGAUGGUUCCACAUGUAGAGUGUGCCAAAAAUGGGCUUGUUGCACAGGUUAUUUGAACACAGAAGCAGAGCUUUCUUUCUCUCUCCAUUCAUUAUUUUUCUGAGUAGACUAAUAAUAUAUGCUUUUUGUGAAACAUUUGAAAAAUGGAAGAAAGUAUAAGAAAAAAAUAAAAAUCACCUAUAUACUUAUCUCCUAAUAUUUCAGUAUAUCUGUUCAGGCCUUUUUUUCUAGUUUUGUGAUCACAUUUUUUCAGUCAACAAAUAUUUUUAUUUCCACAAAUAUUUAAUGCAUUUUGUAUGUGUCAGACACCAUGCCAGGAACUACGAAUAUACUCGUGUUCAAUAAUUUGCAUAAUUCCUUAUCUCCUAGAACUUUGAGUCUAGCAGAAGUGACAUAGAAACACACAACUGCAUUAAGAAUUAUUUAAUCUCAAAUUUGACAAGCUCAGCAAAGAACAAGUAUGAAGUUUUCUGGAAGAAUGGGACAUCCUAACCUAGCCUGGAUGUAGGGAGUGCACCUAAAAGGAAAACUCUGAAGUUAGUUCGCUGGGAAGCUUGCUGCCAUGUUUUGAGCUGCCCUAUGGAGAAACCAACAUGACUAGGAAUAUGAGAGAGCCAGCGGGACAAUGAGGCCCUCAGUACAGCAAGAAACCAAAUUCUGCCAACAACCAUAAAGCAACUGUUCAUCAGAAAGGUGGAGUAACUUGACCAAGGUAACGCAGCUAAAGUUCUCAGAUUCUAAAGACCAGGACUCCUCAUGAAUCUGUCAGCCCCCCUCAUUCCAGCUCUGGGUCUCUGUGUCGCUGCCACUGCCACCUCGUCAUUAUCCUGCUUCAUGCCUAUCACUGGACUAAACACCUUACAGUCUUUAUCACAUUUAAUUUUUUCAACUAUACCAAGAGACACUCGCAUCUCUACCCCAGCAGCAGCAUCUUAGAGGCAGUGAGAACUCUGUCUUAGAAGACGGCCUUCAGCCCUGGGUUGAAAAGAGGAGUCUAGAACACCUUUCAAAUGGAACAUUGGGACUGCAGGUUGUACAGCUCACUAUCCGCCUAGGCUGAUGUCCUUGGGUGUUCCUUGACCACAGAGGAGAGGACAGGAGUGGCUCCUCUUUAGGAAGCAGGGGUAAGUUUCCAGAGGAUUCCUUCCAACAUGCUGUUUCCCAUAAGUUCACUUUCACACGCUCCCUUAUUUCCUAAACUGAAACUGUGACAUUGUGCCAACUCGGCUGUAGGCAGCACAAAGCGAACAACAAAGCACAACCAACGGGACAGAUGAUGAGAGCUGGGGAUCCCUAACACUGGGGACUUAGUGGUGAAAAUCCUGGAUCUUUUUCCACUGGACUAAGCUUGAGGUAUAUGUCUGCGUGUCCAAGAGGCUUAUCGAAAAUGGUGACUGGAAGAUCCUUCCUUUCUAGGCACUUAAAAUGUCUGAAUUUUGCUUCCUUAUCAGCAAAACAAGCACAGGUAAAUGGAAAGUAAAUGUUAAGCUGCAUAAAGAACCAACAGAAUUAAAUAUAGAUGAGUGACCUAAUUCUAGCAUCCUCACCCCUGACUUUCUGCUUCAUUUCUUUUAAGUUUUCUUAUGGGGCUACCACUUUAUCUGCACAAGAAAGACUUUGGUUAAUGACUUUGGACUCCUUUGGGUCUUCUGACCUUGGAGCAGCCAGGAAAUAGAUUUGUGUUCACAAAAGAGAGGAUCAAGAAGAAAUAAAAGCAGGAAACUGGGAAUUGGAGUGUCCAUUGAGAAACAUACCCUCUGUCAUUUUUGGAAGGCUCGUUGUUUAAGUUUGGAAGUCUAAGGCCAUCGGUGGAUUAUAUUACGUUUGCUGCAUGGCUUUGGGAUGAUAAGUGGAAACCCACAAAUGAUGGGCUUUCCAAAUGACUCAAAUUUAUUAUAAAAUUGUUGGACAUAACAAAAGAUUGUUCAACAUGAAACGAUCUAAUCUGAUUAAACCAAACUUUUUCUUAAGAUAUACCACAACAUAGGCACAUACACAUUCAUUUGGGAGAGAAGAGGCCACAGCACCCCAAUCUUUAUACAGGGUACUGUGAUGACUUAUGUGGGUGUGGCUUGAAGUUCUGGAUGCUCUCUCGCUCAGAAGUCACCUCGACCAGUGCUGAGGAUGGGAUCUUGGAUGAGGGCCAGAGUUCCCGGUCCAAGACUACAUCUCCAAGCAGCAGGACAGUGGAAGCAAGUGUCAUGAAGCCAUGCAAGCUCAGGGCCCUUAUACUCAGUAAACCAUCCUGGAUAUGACCAGCAUGCAUACUGGCCCUACCACCCCCACCCAUCAGACUGUAGACUUUACAUUUACACAAAUCAGGCAAUCGUAAUAUGUUGAUCCUGAUACUAUCCAGUGGUACUCACUGGGACAUUGGCAGCUCUACUGGAUUGAUAUGAUAAAGUAUCAUGGGGCUCAGAGUCAUAAUUGAACAUAUACACCAUACUGUACAGAGGUCAUGGGUCAAAUUGAGUCAAAAAAAUUAUUUUUUCACUACUUUCAUGUUGUUUUUGCCCUCACAGUGGGUUGGUUGGUUUGCUUGUUUCUGACAUUCACAUUUUAAAACAAUGAAAUUUUACAUGACAAUGCAAUUUCUGGUUUCGUGUGUGUGCAUGUUUUUUAAACAGAGGAUAUAGGUUUCCUAGGCCUUCAUUAUCACACACCAAACAGGAGCAGACAUUUGCUUUCCAUUUGGCUCCUGUUUCUACCUGGCACAGUGUUCUGUCCCUGCAGGCGUGUCACUCUGCCACCUUGAUUUGGAAGCCUAGAUUCUCCUACAGUCUCAGGUCCAGACUGGUGAUAUCCAAGAUUCCAUUUAAGGAAGGACCUUCCCAGUGACCUUCUCUACCCUUUCCAGAUGGUAGAUCUGUGUCUGUGGCAGGACUUGACAUACCAUGGAGAGACUGUGAAGAGAUCCCACAACUUCCUUAAUAUGAGGGCACAAGUGUUAGAAUGCCCCAUGAGUAAAGGGGAAAUGUCUUAGUCCAUUUGUGUUUUAAACAAAAUACUUUAGACUUGGUAAUUUAUAAACAACAGACAUGUAUUGCUUACAGUUCUGGAGGCUGUGAAGUCCAAGAUCAAAACACCAGCAUAUUCAGUGCUUGGGAAGGCCCUAUUCCUCAUUGGUGGCACCUUCUAUGUGUCCUUAUAUGAUGGAAGGGCACAGCAGCUCUCUGGGGCUCUUCAAUAAGGGCACUAAUCUCAUUCAUGAGUACAGAGCCCUCAUGACCUAAUUACCUCCCAAAGGCCCUGCCUUCUAAUAUUAUUAGCUUGGUGAUUAGAUUUUACUGUAUGAAUUUUAGGGGGACACAACAUUCAGACAAUGGCAGGAGGGGAAACCUCAGCUUUUCUUUUUCUUUUUCGAGACAGAGUCUUGCUCUGUCACCCAGGAUGGAAUGCAAUGGUACGA